UACGUAGGGUGCAAGCGUUGUCCGGAAUUAUUGGGCGUAAAGAGCUCGUAGGCGGUUUGUCGCGUCUGCUGUGAAAACUCGGGGCUUAACUCCGGGCCUGCAGUGGGUACGGGCAGACUAGAGUGCGGUAGGGGAGACUGGAAUUCCUGGUGUAGCGGUGAAAUGCGCAGAUAUCAGGAGGAACACCAAUGGCGAAGGCAGCUCGCUGGGACGGUACUGACGCUGAGGCGCGAAAGCGUGGGGAGCAAACAGG
Molecule: ribosomal RNA, 253 nt
Filed under: uncultured bacterium
Lineage: Bacteria
Description: partial 16S ribosomal RNA
Rfam family: Bacterial small subunit ribosomal RNA
Source: RNAcentral